AUUGAUUGCAUGUUUCAUAUCGUUUAUACUCCUUUUCCAUGAAUUAAAAGAAUAAAAAGCAAAUAUAUUUUUCGCAAUAAUCAUAGCUCAUGAGCACUGCAGUGACUGAUUUGUGGCCGAACAUAAAAAUGUGUUUUUAAUUAGCAACUAGUACGUAUCCUGCCGUUUGGAACAGUCGAUGUACUAAUUACGUAUUUUACAUACAAUUAAACAUUCCACCGAAACAGUUUUGAUCUGAGCCAAAUGAAGUGUUGUAAAAGACAAAAGUGUGAAAAAAUGACUCGUGAAAAUGAACAACAACAACAACAACAACAACAACAUCAGGAGAAGAAGAAGCGAAAACGACCACAAAGUAAAAAGAAACCAAAAAGCACAGAUGCAUUGGUUGCCCAAAAUAAAAAUAUAUUUGUAGUUAAAAUGCUACUGAAAGAUGCCAUCAACUUACCUGAAAAUAGGCAUGACGAAUUAUUGGAUACAAUCAAUGCAGUGGUUGACGAAAUGAGCCGCCUGACAGUAUUAGCAUAUCUCAAUGUGCAUUGCAUAUUGAUGCGAAUAUUGAUUAGUGGAAAUACGAAAGCAAUCCACGAUGAAUUUUGGAAAAAGAAAUGUGGAGAUAGGUACUUCUGGGAGCACUUCAAUGGGGUCCGAGAAGGUGGUGUAUAUCCAGAAAAAUAAGAUCCAGCUCAUCCAUUUGCAACCGAACUUGAUCCAAUCGUAAAGACAUUCAUCGAAGAUUUUAAAGUAAACGCACCACCCGCCGUAGGAUUACAGAAUAUUCUUGGCAAUGCUGUCGGUCAUCAUCGAACCAUGUUAAUGAAUUGCAUAUGCGUCCAUGGCUACAGAUGGAUUAAGCAAGUGUUGUUACAUUUCAUUUACGUUUAUGUUUUUCAAAAUGAUAGCAAAUUGUUUAAAAUACCAAAUAAUGCUACCAUAAAGCAGAUAAAAUACAACAAAACGUAUCGCCAAUGGAUAAAGUCAACGAUGGAACAUUUGAAACCACCUAAGGAUGAUAAAAAUGAAAAGAAGAAAUAUAAUUCAAAUUCUUUGGAGCAUGAGCCUCAACAAUUAAUUAAACAGCUGCACGAUAAAUUAAAACCAAUGAAUUUCAACAUGAAAAAUUAUGGUGCCGGCUAUUUUAAUAAUUUACAUAGCGACAAAGAAGGCAAGUGGUACAAGUAUGUGCCAUUCUUUUAUGCCCUACAGCAAUACAAUCGCACAGAGAAUGAAAAAAACAAACAACGCUGGAUCGAAUUCAAAGCGACAAUUACUGCUCAGCAACAAGAAGAAGAAGAAGAACAGAAAAGUCAUCACCGUCGUCGUUAUCCAAGUUUGCUAUUACCGCCCAAAUUGAAGGUAUUUCAAGUGUUUCCCGAGUCGCAUUUUGGACAGGAAAGCAUCAGCGUUGAUCGCACUGGUUUCGUCAAAUUGAUUCGUUUGAUAAACCACCCAGGGGAAAAAGACGAGCAGGAAAGUGGUUCUAGAGAAGUCAGAGCUUAUCGAACUAAAAAAGCCAAAAAAUUGAUUUAUGCUUUAUGGCGAAAAUUCUUCAAAGUUGAUCAAAUCGAGGGCGAACGUAAUGCAGUAUUUGGUAAUCAUUUUAACACGAACGGCGUAUCGAUUUCAUUUCAAAUGCAUCGCCGCAAUAAUAAUGCUGCUUCUACAAUACCAGCAGCAAAGAAAACCAAAAAGAAAGCCAAUACUAAAAGCACGGCUGCCGAGGAGGAAGAAAUAGCAAAAAUCAAAGAGGAGCAACGACAAAAAUUACAAUCGUGCGAUCGUGAAGUGGUACUAGAUGUGGGCAAACGGCUAAUGAUUUGUGGUUUAAUCAUCGAUCAUAAAACGGGAAAAUAUCGCCAAUUCAAGUUUUCUUCGCGCCGUCACUAUCGUAUGUGCAAAACUAAAUUUUUCCAGAAACAACGUGAACAACUGACUGCGGAAAUUGACAAUGAAAUAAAGAUGGAUUGUGAAAAAAUUGAAAAGGAAUCAACGGAUAAACUACAGCCUAGUAGUCGUUCACCCCAAUUCGAAGAAUAUGCCAAACAUAGAUUAAAGUUUUUCACCCGAGCCAUGGCAGUGUAUAAUACCAAAGCAUAUGCUAAAAUCAACCAAAAUGCAUGGGCACAAAGGACAAGUGCAUUAAACGACAUUGUUCGUAUGAUUGUUGGCCGGAGUAAAAAUGUGGUGGUAAUUGUUGGUGAUAAAUUACCAGCAGCCAAUUCACCUGGUUUUGAAUACCAAGGCACCCAAGUGCAUGCCCUUUUCAAAUUACUCAAUGAACAUCCGCGGUGUACAGUGUAUUUUGGCAGCGAACAUCGUACGACGAAAUGUUGUUGCCGUUGUGGUGAAGUAUUGUAAGAUGCUCGUAUGAGCGAGAGUCGUUACAAAGCUUGGAAGGAGGAUCGAUUAUGGCAUCGAGGCAGCCGCACAAAAAAGAGUCGCACCAAAGUAUGCUUGGUGUGUAAACCAAUGGACAUUGCAUCUAUGUUGCCAACAAUGCGAUCACCAUUGCCAGACAAAGGGAUUUAUUUGUUGAAAAAUAAACGUGAAUUGAGAUUAGAGCGAAAAGCUGCACGUGCGAUAGCCAAUGAUGAUGCUAAUGCAAUUACCAAAGAUCCACCAACAAUGGUAAUAAAUGAUGCUAAUAAACAGAAAUAUCGAUAUACUCAUGUUAAAAAGAUACAUUAUACAUGGAAGAGUAAGCAUAAAAUUUCAAAGACGACGGGUAAACGAGUUCGAAGUCGUAAAAUCAAAUGGCGUAUGCACGAAAAUGAAGAAAAUAUCAAUUUCAAUUUGUCCAUGUGGAAACUACAUAAAUGCAAUGGUGCUUAUGCAUUAGAUAAAACUGCAUCAAGAUCAUUCAAUCGCGAUAUUAAUGCUGCAAUAAAUAUUCGAACACUGUUUUACUGCGAUACAUAUGAUGUGCCACGACCUGCAAAUUUCACCGAAACGGCAGAACACCAAAAGGAACGAACAAAAAAGCGUAAAGAGGAGUUGGAUGAAGCUAGAAAACGUGCCAAUACAAAUUAUCGUCGUCUCCAAUGCCGCCGUCGUCGUCUUCGCCGAAAUGUAAAUGCUUCAGAUGUGGAAGAAGAAGAACUGAUAAGGACAACAUUAGUUGAUUGUUUCAACGACAACUAUGACAACAAUGAAAGCGAUGUAUCUUCAUCAUCCUAUGACAGCGAUCAAAGUGACAAUUACAGUGACUUCAGCGACGAUAAUAAUUGAAAUUUAAAAUUCAUAUAUGAAUAAAAAAAAUUGUAAUACAAUAUUCCUCCAAUUUAAUUAAAGAUGAAAUAGUAAAGUAGCAAUGGCCAAUAUUUAUGGCCGAAAUCGUUA
This is an RNA transcript of Sitodiplosis mosellana (orange wheat blossom midge), 3336 nucleotides long. RefSeq lists it as uncharacterized. The record is from RefSeq and is a predicted model, not a curated record. Lineage: Eukaryota; Metazoa; Arthropoda; Insecta; Diptera; Cecidomyiidae. The transcript is spliced from 3 exons.